Molecule: long non-coding RNA, 1406 nt
Organism: Triticum aestivum (bread wheat)
Lineage: Eukaryota; Viridiplantae; Streptophyta; Magnoliopsida; Poales; Poaceae
Exons: 2
Source: RefSeq, a predicted model, not a curated record
UCCACUUCUGCCUCGUCCUCCCCCUACACUUCUCUCCUCCUGAAGCCCCAACACAUGGUUGUCGUCGGCGCUGGCGCUCGUGUCGUUCUUCCCCAGCGCAUCCCGCAGCCUCCUGCAGGACGAUGCCUCACCAUCUUCCAUCAGCCAGCGCUGUGGGCCGUGGUUCUGGACCGGUCACAGGUCGCUGCCGAGGAGCAGAGGAGGACCGCGGGGGGGGGGGGGGAGAAGGAGCAGAGGAGGACGGCACUGGGGGGAAGAAGCAGCGAGACCAGAGGCCCAGACGGCGCUCGUGUCAUGUGUCGGACGCUGCUCGCCGGCCCUCGUCGUGGUCCUCAAUCUAGGUUGCCCAUCUUCAUCUCGCCAUCUUCUUCCUUCCAAUUUUACCUUAGUUUUUCAGAAUGACUAAUUCACAUCUAAAUGAUAUUUAAGGAUGUCACAUCUAAGUGUUUGUACCGUCCGAUCUGUCUCUGCUUUAUUAUUCAUGCACGAGGUGAUGCGCUCGCAUCGUCGCAUUGUCUCGUCUGUCGGGCCGAGUGGGAUACAUCGUAGCGGCCUCCGAUUUUUUGUUUGGGCCGGCCUUCGAUUUUUGUUUGUUUAUUGGGCUUGCUUUAGAAUCUGAACAGUCUAACCUGAUCUGGAGUCCCGUCCUCACUCUCCUCGCCUCUUUUCCCCUCCUCAUCCCUUGUUCUGCCACCACUGUAUUCCUUCUGACUCGAAUCCAAGGGAGAGACGACCUGAUCUGGUGGGCUUGUGGCGACAGAGAUGGCAGGGGAAUCCAGCGGACUGAUGAAUAGUAACUAGCAAUCCAACCCGGUUAUGUUCAUGCCCAUGGCUGUAGAUUUGUUUUUCUGUGUGAGUCUGAUUGUAGCAGCGAGCACCCCCAGUUUUGUAACUUGAGUCUGUACAUCUAGGGACUUCCAGUUUUUUUGUGUGUGUGAAUCUGAAUGUAGCAGCGAGCACCCCAGUUUUGUAAUCUGAAUGUAGCAGCUAGCACCCCAUUUUGUAAUCUUGAGUUUGUAGCACAUACUACAUAUAGACAGCAGACAGAGUUGCCUGCCAUUUUUGUCUGAAAUUUAAGAGGCAUAAUGCGAGUGGAUAAACAUUUUCAGUGGCAUACAUUGCAAUCCUUCUUUUUUCAGACAGGAAUGUCUGAAUUUUUGUGUGUGUCUGUUUGUAGGGAGCAUGUGUAGUCUUCUUCUGAAUACUUCAAACUUCUCAGACUAAGCGAGGUCUUUUUGAUUUCUUAAAAGUUGUGGCAUAUGGCACAACUCCAGAAAUUGAAAGUAUAGUAGUAGCAGGCCCGAAUGUAUAGCUUUUGUUUUUCAUAUUUUUAUAGAUUUUCUGUUAAAAUCUUUUCUUGUUUGAAGAUAUGUGAUUUCAAAAUCUAACAAGAGUAUUUUCUGAUC